This 430-nucleotide unclassified non-coding RNA is filed under the name soil metagenome. RNAcentral describes it as "partial contains 5.8S ribosomal RNA, internal transcribed spacer 2, and large subunit ribosomal RNA". The stretch from base 1 to 120 matches the Rfam family "5.8S ribosomal RNA", at positions 35 to 154 of the family's 154-position model. The record is from RNAcentral.
GAUGAAGAACGCAGCGAAAUGCGAUACGUAAUGUGAAUUGCAGAAUUCAGUGAAUCAUCGAAUCUUUGAACGCAUAUUGCGCUCUCUGGUAUUCCGGAGAGCAUGCUUGUUUGAGUAUCAGUAAACACCUCAACUCCCUUUUCUUUUUUGAAAUUGGAGCUGGACUUGAGUGAUCCCAACGCUUUCUUCCAAGAAAGUGGCGGGUUGCUUGAAAAGCAGGUGCAGCUGCACUUUUCUCUGAGCUAUAAGCAUAUCUAUUUAGUCUGCCUAAAAAACAGAUUAUUACCUUUGCUGCAGCUAACAUAAAGGAGACUAGUUCUUGUGCUGACUGAUGCAGGAUUCACAGAGACAGCUUCGGCUGACUUUGUAAACUCGAUCUCAAAUCAAGUAAGACUACCCGCUGAACUUAAGCAUAUCAAUAAGCGGAGGA